AACAAACGCUGGCGGCGUGCCUAAUACAUGCAAGUCGAACGGGGAAAGUAGCAAUAUGAGUACUAGUGGCGCACGGGUGAGUAACGCGUGGAUAAUCUGCCUUGAAGAGGGGGAUAACUAGUCGAAAGAUUAGCUAAUACCGCAUAAGACCACAAGAACUGAGGUUCAAGGGGUCAAAGGUUUUUCGCUUCAAGAUGAGUCCGCGUAAGAUUAGCUAGUUGGUGAGGUAAUGGCUCACCAAGGCAACGAUCUUUAACUGGUCUGAGAGGAUGAUCAGUCACACUGGAACUGAGACACGGUCCAGACUCCUACGGGAGGCAGCAGUAGGGAAUAUUGCACAAUGGAGGAAACUCUGAUGCAGCGGCGCCGCGUGAGGGAUGAAGGCCUUCGGGUCGUAAAGCUCUGUCGCAGGGGAAUAACACAAUGAAUGUACCCUGUAAGAAAGAAUCGGCUAACUUCGUG
RNAcentral lists this ribosomal RNA (462 nucleotides) under uncultured bacterium. RNAcentral describes it as "partial 16S ribosomal RNA". It matches the Rfam family "Bacterial small subunit ribosomal RNA", at positions 29 to 507 of the family's 1533-position model. The record is from RNAcentral.